This 255-nucleotide ribosomal RNA is filed under the name uncultured prokaryote. Its description in RNAcentral is "partial 16S ribosomal RNA". It matches the Rfam family "Bacterial small subunit ribosomal RNA", at positions 521 to 774 of the family's 1533-position model. The record is from RNAcentral.
UAAUACGUAGGGGGCGAGCGUUGUCCGGAUUUACUGGGCGUAAAACGCUUGUAGGUGGCCACGCCAAGUCGGAUGUGAAAUCUCCCGGCUUAACUGGGAGGGGUCAUUCGAUACUGGCGGGCUCGAGGCAGGUAGGGGGAAGCGGAAUUCCCGGUGUAGUGGUGGAAUGCGUAGAUAUCGGGAGGAACACCAGUGGCGAAGGCGGCUUCCUGGACCUGUUCUGACACUGAGGAGCGAAAGCGUGGGGAGCGAUCC